UUAAGCGACUAAGCGUACACGGUGGAUGCCCUGGCAGUCAGAGGCGAUGAAGGACGUGCUAAUCUGCGAUAAGCGUCGGUAAGGUGAUAUGAACCGUUAUAACCGGCGAUUUCCGAAUGGGGAAACCCAGUGUGAUUCGUCACACUAUCAUUAACUGAAUCCAUAGGUUAAUGAGGCGAACCGGGGGAACUGAAACAUCUAAGUACCCCGAGGAAAAGAAAUCAACCGAGAUUCCCCCAGUAGCGGCGAGCGAACGGGGAGGAGCCCAGAGCCUGAAUCAGUGUGUGUGUUAGUGGAAGCGUCUGGAAAGGCGCGCGAUACAGGGUGACAGCCCCGUACACAAAAAUGCACAUGCUGUGAGCUCGAUGAGUAGGGCGGGACACGUGGUAUCCUGUCUGAAUAUGGGGGGACCAUCCUCCAAGGCUAAAUACUCCUGACUGACCGAUAGUGAACCAGUACCGUGAGGGAAAGGCGAAAAGAACCCCGGCGAGGGGAGUGAAAAAGAACCUGAAACCGUGUACGUACAAGCAGUGGGAGCACAGAGCAAUCUGUGUGACUGCGUACCUUUUGUAUAAUGGGUCAGCGACUUAUAUUCUGUAGCAAGGUUAACCGAAUAGGGGAGCCGAAGGGAAACCGAGUCUUAACUGGGCGUUAAGUUGCAGGGUAUAGACCCGAAACCCGGUGAUCUAGCCAUGGGCAGGUUGAAGGUUGGGUAACACUAACUGGAGGACCGAACCGACUAAUGUUGAAAAAUUAGCGGAUGACUUGUGGCUGGGGGUGAAAGGCCAAUCAAACCGGGAGAUAGCUGGUUCUCCCCGAAAGCUAUUUAGGUAGCGCCUCGUGAAUUCAUCUCCGGGGGUAGAGCACUGUUUCGGCAAGGGGGUCAUCCCGACUUACCAACCCGAUGCAAACUGCGAAUACCGGAGAAUGUUAUCACGGGAGACACACGGCGGGUGCUAACGUCCGUCGUGAAGAGGGAAACAACCCAGACCGCCAGCUAAGGUCCCAAAGUCAUGGUUAAGUGGGAAACGAUGUGGGAAGGCCCAGACAGCCAGGAUGUUGGCUUAGAAGCAGCCAUCAUUUAAAGAAAGCGUAAUAGCUCACUGGUCGAGUCGGCCUGCGCGGAAGAUGUAACGGGGCUAAACCAUGCACCGAAGCUGCGGCAGCGACGCUUAUGCGUUGUUGGGUAGGGGAGCGUUCUGUAAGCCUGCGAAGGUGUGCUGUGAGGCAUGCUGGAGGUAUCAGAAGUGCGAAUGCUGACAUAAGUAACGAUAAAGCGGGUGAAAAGCCCGCUCGCCGGAAGACCAAGGGUUCCUGUCCAACGUUAAUCGGGGCAGGGUGAGUCGACCCCUAAGGCGAGGCCGAAAGGCGUAGUCGAUGGGAAACAGGUUAAUAUUCCUGUACUUGGUGUUACUGCGAAGGGGGGACGGAGAAGGCUAUGUUGGCCGGGCGACGGUUGUCCCGGUUUAAGCGUGUAGGCUGGUUUUCCAGGCAAAUCCGGAAAACUAAGGCUGAGGCGUGAUGACGAGGCACUACGGUGCUGAAGCAACAAAUGCCCUGCUUCCAGGAAAAGCCUCUAAGCAUCAGGUAACAUCAAAUCGUACCCCAAACCGACACAGGUGGUCAGGUAGAGAAUACCAAGGCGCUUGAGAGAACUCGGGUGAAGGAACUAGGCAAAAUGGUGCCGUAACUUCGGGAGAAGGCACGCUGAUAUGUAGGUGAAGUCCCUCGCGGAUGGAGCUGAAAUCAGUCGAAGAUACCAGCUGGCUGCAACUGUUUAUUAAAAACACAGCACUGUGCAAACACGAAAGUGGACGUAUACGGUGUGACGCCUGCCCGGUGCCGGAAGGUUAAUUGAUGGGGUCAGCGCAAGCGAAGCUCUUGAUCGAAGCCCCGGUAAACGGCGGCCGUAACUAUAACGGUCCUAAGGUAGCGAAAUUCCUUGUCGGGUAAGUUCCGACCUGCACGAAUGG
This 1973-nucleotide ribosomal RNA is filed under the name human gut metagenome. RNAcentral describes it as "bacterial LSU rRNA". It matches the Rfam family "Bacterial large subunit ribosomal RNA", at positions 1 to 1999 of the family's 2925-position model. The record is from RNAcentral.